CAGCACCUCAAGUGGUCAGGAUGAUUAUUGGGCCUAAAGCAUCUGUAGCCUGCUUUGUUAGUUUUCGGUUAAAUCCAUACGCUCAACGUAUGGGCUGCCGGGAAUACUGCAAAGCUAGGGAGUGGGAGAGGUAGACGGUACUCGGUAGGAAGGGGUAAAAUCCUUUGAUCUAUUGAUGACCACCUGUGGCGAAGGCGGUCUACCAGAACACGUCCGACGGUGAGGGAUGAAAGCUGGGGGAGCAAACCGGAUUAGAUACCCGAGUAGUCC
This 270-nucleotide ribosomal RNA is filed under the name uncultured archaeon. RNAcentral's name for it is "partial 16S ribosomal RNA". It matches the Rfam family "Archaeal small subunit ribosomal RNA", at positions 477 to 747 of the family's 1478-position model. The record is from RNAcentral.